UUGAGAUUCUUUAGUUUAUUUCUUGCUACCUAAAAAUUAUCUUUAUUGCCUUUAUUUGUUUUUAAUUAAACAUAUUCUCUGAACAAAUACUUAUUGAUUGUCUAAUAUAUAUCAGACAUUAAGCUAGAUGCUAAUGAGUCAAUGGUAAACAAGAUGUAAAACCAUCCUCAUGAUGCUGGAGAGGAAACAGACAAGUAAAAGGUAGCACUGGAACAGACAUUUGUGAUAUCACAGUAGGAGUGAGGCAGGGCAUUAGGAAUGCUAUGGACAAUCCCCUCAGAUUGAGAAGUGUGGAGGGCUGACUCUCAGAAAGAGUGGGAUUUAUGUUGAGAACUGAAGAAUGAGUAGGAAAGUUCACUGGGGCAAGAGAAGCUGAACACAAGGUCUAAAGAGGCGAAGGAGGGAUGGAAGGUGGCUGCCUCUGGAAUUCAAGUCAAGCCUGGCAUCCAGCUCUGUACUUCUAAUACCAAUCUGGAAUGGAUGGAGAAUAUUAUAUGGACUUUUUCAUUGACCUACUUUUUAAGGAAUGUAGAGGAGUGGAAAAUGGAGGUUGUUGAUUCUGCCUUAUGGAUGAAAUAUAGAAAACCUUAAACACAUACUUAAUGUAUAUCUGUGAUUUCAUUUUGAUGAAGAAAGACUCAUUGAUUUGGUAAAGUUACUCAGAAAGUGUUUUAACUUGAAGAUUGGACUGCAUUUAUCAUUGAGGAAAGAGUGAAUUUUCUCAAUAAAUCACUAUUAUAAGUCA
Molecule: long non-coding RNA, 745 nt
Filed under: Felis catus (domestic cat)
Lineage: Eukaryota; Metazoa; Chordata; Mammalia; Carnivora; Felidae
Description: lncRNA (ENSFCAG00000049864.1)
Source: RNAcentral